Non-coding RNA from Rattus norvegicus (Norway rat), 1400 nucleotides. Lineage: Eukaryota; Metazoa; Chordata; Mammalia; Rodentia; Muridae. The record is from the annotation of a RefSeq genome assembly.
AAAAGAAGAACAGGGGUUAAGGAGGAAACCCCUGCAUUAGCUCACUUCUUAUCACCACCUUGCACAAUGGUGGCGAUGUCAUCUUCCUUAACUUUGACUCCCCUCAGAGGAGCAGCUUCUCUGGUGGUUUCUUCCAGCCCUCAAGGGGUAGACCUAUGGGAGGGUCCUUUUUGUAUAAAGCUGUAACAUUGUGGGGACAGGGGGCACGGUGAUUCAAUUCUAUGGGAAACCUUUACAAAAACCUUUCUUCUGUCCCAAGGCCCACAGUCUGCUACUCUUCCUCUGGGUCACAAAUCUAAAUCCGUUUACAUCCAAAAUGCUUCUACUUCACCUCUGCUUCCUGCCAGGCCAAGAUUGUGGAGAAGAAUGGGGCUGUCCCAGAGCAGAAACCUACGCAGAAUGAUCACAAGCAUAAGAAGAGAGGCCUAGUGGCCCUAGAGGCAGAAGAUGCAGGAAGAGCCUCUUCUCCCAACUUCCAUAAAACAGACCACCACCAUCAGUGGACAGGUGAAACAGAGAUGAACAGGUCUACAGCUUUAAAAAAAAGCCAUAAAGAUCUCAGCUCUAGAGGAAUAUCAACAUCUCUCUGGGAAUCUGCUCUCUGAAGGGCUACCUCACUUCAAUGGACCUUCAGAGAGAGAAUAUAUAUGAGGAUCUGAAAACGGUGACUCCACCCAAGGUCUCCUUGUUUGAGCCAUCAGAAGCAGAGAUCGCAGACAAACAAAAGGCUACCCUCGUGUGCUUGGCCAGGGGCUUCUUCCCUGACCAUGUGGAGCUGAGCUGGUGGGUGAAUGGGAAGGAGAUCCGCAAUGGGGUCAGCACAGACCCUCAGGCCUACAAGGAAAGCAACAAUAUCACCUACUGCCUGAGCAGCCGCCUGAGGGUUUCUGCUCCCUUCUGGCACAAUCCUCGCAACCACUUCCGCUGCCAAGUGCAGUUCUAUGGGCUUACAGAGGAAGACAACUGGUCAGAGGACUCACCCAAACCUGUCACACAGAACAUCAGUGCGGAGGCCUGGGGCCGAGCAGAUUGUGGGAUUACCUCAGCAUCCUAUCAACAAGGGGUCUUGUCUGCCACCAUCCUUUAUGAGAUCCUGAUAGGAAAAGCCACCCUGUAUGCUGUGCUUGUCAGUACGCUGGUAGUGAUGGCUAUGGUCAAAAGAAAGAGUUCCUGAAGCCAGACCUGAAGGUGAAUCCAAGAGCUUACAACCCAUUGUGGUGUUGAUACAGAUUUUCUUCUACCGGCGCUUCUGAAGAGCCUAUUCUCCUUUGUGAAUCCCAAAGUCUGCCUAGUCAUGUAUAUUUGUGUUUGUAUGUUUGAAAUCCUUGUGGCCUGGAGAGUGCCUAGCACACUUACAAUUAGUAACCAUAACCAAUAAAACAUGUUCUAGAAUGGCCUGA